CGAAGGUGUCCCACGUGUCCUCGCCUGCUUUAGUAAUAAUCUUCUACGCCGUGAGCCUCUCAAGCUUGUGGAUGGUGGAGAAUCACAGAGAACUUUCAUCUACAUCAAGGAUGCUAUCGAAGCCGUCCUUUUGAUGAUUGAAAACCCAGAGAGGGCAAAUGGGCAUAUCUUCAAUGUUGGC
Molecule: non-coding RNA, 181 nt
Organism: Camelina sativa (false flax)
Lineage: Eukaryota; Viridiplantae; Streptophyta; Magnoliopsida; Brassicales; Brassicaceae
Source: RefSeq, a predicted model, not a curated record